RNAcentral lists this long non-coding RNA (4672 nucleotides) under Homo sapiens (human). Its description in RNAcentral is "HSALNT0318054". The stretch from base 2351 to 2397 matches the Rfam family "Histone 3' UTR stem-loop". Lineage: Eukaryota; Metazoa; Chordata; Mammalia; Primates; Hominidae. The record is from RNAcentral.
AGUCAACCCCCGGGAAGGCCAGGAUGUGGCCUUGUUUCGGCAAGGCCGCCCUAUCACCACGGAGAUGGGCAGGCAGGAGACAUCCCCAGUCAGUCGGGCCCAGGUGGGGAUCAGGAGGUUUCAGGAAAACACAAGCUAUGCAGUGGGGCAGGUGAGGCUUGGCCUGCCCAGCCUGUCCUGAGUGUCAUGGGAACAGCUCUGGAAGUGACUCCUCUGUCCUCUGGAAUCUGGAUCAGAUGGGGCCUUCUCCAGACAUCUGUGCUCAGCAGAUGCGACAGACGGCCCCUCGAGUGUAGCCCAGGAUCCAGCACCGGCCCAAGCAGGUGGGAGCUGGGCUGUGGAACAAAUCACCACAAACUGGAGGGCCGAAAACACCAGCAAUGGGCUCCCUCUUGGUUCUGGAGCCGAGAAGGCAGAAAUGAAGGCGUCAUCAGGGUUGCUCCUUCUGGGGCCUCAGAGCAGGACUCUGUUCCCUGCCCGUCCCCAGCUCCGGUGGUUGGCGGCCUUCCUCCGCCUGUGGCCCUGCACUCCAAUCGCUGCCUCUGUUGUCACUUGGCCCCCCAUGUGCCUCUGUGUCUCAGAAGGACACAAGUCAUAUUGAAUUAAGGACCCUCCCUACCCCAGCAUGACCCCGUUUUAACUUAGAACUUUCACAAUGAUCUGAUUUGCAAAGAAGGCUGGAUUCUGAGGUCCUGGGAAGGACAUGAAUUUUGGGGGAUGCUGUUCACCUCAGUACACCGGUGCAGAGUUCGGUGACACCGCCAAGUUGCUUGACGGUGAGCAGCCUGGCAUUGUAGAAAGGCAGAGGUUGACUUUAGUUUGGUCCCUGGCUUUGUCCUUUAUUUGUUCUGUGACACCUUGGACAAGUUUUGUGACCCGAGUGUCAGUUUCCUAGGAACCAGUGACAAUGAUCAGAGAUAGGGGGACUCAAGGGUAAGUAAAGUGCAGGAUGAACUGCAGCGGAGCGUGUGAGGUGCCUGGCAGGUGUCGGCCACCCAGUGGCGCUCGAAGCACCUGCUGCUCCCUCCUUCCUCGCUCCCAGCUGCCUUCUCUGCUGGGAGCUCUUUGGAGAGGAGCUGUGUGACUGGUUCAUCCUGUCCCUCGAGGAGCUACCAGUUCAGUCAAGGACAUUGAGAAGCAGCGGAUGGUGACAGUGCAGUGUGACAGUGGUGUGCUGUGGGAGCCCCAUGGAGCGGCUACCCAGGCAGGAACGUCAGGGAGGCUUCCUGGAGGAGGUGGUGCUUCAGAUGAGACUUGAAGGAGCAGAAGGUGUUUGCUAGACAAAGGGGCUUGCUUGGAUGAAUGGUCUUCAGAGCGUGGUCCCAGUAAGGAAGGAGACCACUACUACUCUUGCUGCCCUCCUCCCCCGACCUUGCCUAGUUUACAAGACAGGAGGAAAGAGAGAAAGCAAAAAGUUAGAAAAAAAAAAAAAAAAAACAGAAGUAAGAUAAAUAGCCAGAAGACCUUGGCACCACCACCUGGCCCUGGUAGUUAAAAAAAGUAAUAAUAAUAAUAUCGACCCCUGACUUAAACUACUUGUAUUAUCUGUAAAUUCCAGACAUUGUAGGAAAAAGCAUUGCAAAAUUUUCUGUUCUGUUAGCUGAUUCAUGUAGCCCCCAGUCACGUUCCCCAUGCUUGUUCGAUUUAUCAUGACCCUUUCACGUGGGCCCCUUAGAGGUGUAAGCCCUUAAAAGGGCCAAGAAUUUCUUUUUCCGGGAGCUCGGCUCUUAAGACGCAAGUCUGCUGAUGCUCCCGGCUGAAUAAACCUCUUCCUUCUUUAAUCCAGUGUCUGAGGAGUUUUGUCUGUGGCUCCUCCUGCUACACCAGAACAGCAGGGCCGGCAUCCCCUGAGCUAGAACAACCCUGAGGCAGGGCAUCCACUGCAGGGAAGGCUGGGAGAGGGGCCAGAGAAACCUGUCAGGGGAUUCUGAUGUGUGCUCCGGUCUCAGGACAUUCUCACAGGGGCGACAGGGACUGGAGCUGGGACAGAGUGUGGCACAUCUGGAGAGAUUGCAGCAGGGGCAGAAGCUGUGGGAUAGGGAAGCAGCUCCAUGUGGCGGGAGUCAGGGGGAUGUGGAUGGUGGGGGACAGAGAGCGGGAUGAGGAAUUUAGAUAUUUCCUAAAGCUGGAAGUCUGUGAUUCUGCACCCCUGUGAGCUGCUGUAGAGUGGCUUUGGUGAUGGACAUGAAAUAUUAAACGCUGGCAAAGUGCCUGAACAGAAAGAAAAAGCCCACCUUCUCAAAGGAGAUGCAGCAGGUUGCAUAGUGUCUUCCAACCACCUUUUUUGGGCCAGGGUUCCAUGUUCCACAGCCCCCCAGAUCUGCGGGUCCCCACUACUCCUGCCUUCUCACUCAAGGCCUUCCUCAAGGCCACACCAUCAUCUCUGUUGAGUUGAUUUCUUUUGUGAGUCAAGACUUCCAGGUGACAGAGUACCAGAAAACCCCUGACAAUCUGGGGAGACUGGGUCCAAGUCCAGGACUGCCUGUGGUGGAGAGCACUCUGCUUUGAAGCAUAGGGGACUCAGAGCACCUUCCUGCAUGUGCUGACCCAGGCCUGGCAGAUGCCCAUCUAACAUGCUAAUGUCCUUCAGGCCAAUGCAGUGGCUCGUGCCUGUAAUCCCAACACUCUGGGAGGCUGAGGCAGGAGGAUGGCUUGAGCCCAGGAGAUCAAGACCAGCCUGGGCAACAUAGCAAGACCCCAUCUCUACAAAAAAAUUAAAACCAAAAAGGCUUCAAAUGUCUUUCCUCAUCAGAUCCCUCUGGCAUGGACAUGAAUUCCUCCCUGUGACCUUCAUUUUAAGUAGAAGCACAGGGACAUCUCAAGUGUCCCGGUGGUGGCAGGAACGGGGCCCCCUGCCUGUGAGCACAGGGCUGGCUGGUGCAGGGUACUGGCCUCAGGUGAGCAGCCUGCCCAGCCCCUGGGUCACUGACUUCCUGAGUGACUCUGGGGCCCUUUCCUUCCUCUAGGGCCACUUUCUUCAUCUGUAAAACAAGGGAUUCAGAUGAGAUCACCUCCAGGACUCUGAACCCACAGAGCCCACAUUCUCACACCAAGGUGCCCAGAUUCCUAGGCGUGCACAGUGCAUGCUGGGCACAUUAGAACACCAGGGGUUUUAAAACAUUUCUAUUUAGACUAAGAAACUCACAUGGGGAGAAAUCAGGAGCCCUGUGAAAACACGGGGUCUCCAUCUCCCAGACCCAUCCAGCCAGUUCCUGGAGAGACAGUUCUUCCCACCCCCGAGUGGCCAUGUGCACUGGGGGUCCUGACCCAGGCGAGGCAGUCUCCAUAGUCAGCUCCCCUGUCUGGGUCUUGGGUGCCCACAAAGGGAAGGCCUGUUGGAGAACCUGGAGGAGGAGGAGUUGAGAGGAGGAGGGAGAGAGGCUGGGCACUGCAGCCUGUGGAAGUCCUGUUAAGUCUGCAGUCGGCACACCCCACAUUUGCCGCUUCUGCCCUCGCAGCGAGUCUCCCAGUGCUGCCAAGGUCAACACCCUGGGGUGGGGGUGCAGGCUGAGGCCUGGAGCAGAGGAUGGGGUCCAAGUCUGGCUCAGCCAUGUGCUGGCUGGGGACCUCUCUAAGCCCAGUUUUCUCAUCUGUAAAAUGGAUGGGGUGCACAUGCUCCUACCCCAAGGAUUGUUGUGAGGAUGGGCAGUGCCCAUCCGGCAGUUGCUCAUUGGCAGCUGAAUGGUGAAUGUUAUCUGUCCACUUGGAUAGGCUAUUGGCCCUGUUGUUUGUUCAAACUCUCAUCUAGAUGCCGCUGUGAAGAUAUUUUUGGGUGUCAUUAGUAUUUAACUAGUGGACUUUGAAUAAAACAGAUGACCUUCCAUAGUGUGGGUAGGCCUCGUCCAAUCCGUUGAAACUGAGGUUUCCAGAAGGAAUUCUGCCUCGAGAGCACAAUACAGAAAGCCUGACUCAGUUUCCAGCCUGCACCGUGUGGACUCAAGCCUGAGAUAUCAGCUAUUCCCUGAGUCUCAGGCCUGCCAGCCUGCCCUAAGAGUUUGGACUUACCAGUCCCCACAAUCACACGAGCCAAUCGCUUAAAACUCAAUCAAUCAAUCAGUGUUAAAAUAAGUUACCAAUGUUCAAAAAUAAGGUUUCACACACACACACACACACAAGAGGAUUCCUAACAUGGAAAUCAGAUGAUGUGACCACACUGGGCAUCCGUUCCUGCCAGAGCGGGACAGUCAAGCCCCCCGCUCCCCUCACCUGAGGUUGGGCUGCCCCAGGCAUGUGAGUUUUUCCAAGCUCCUUUCUGGCUCUGGGUUCAGUUUAGCAAACGCUUGGUUGGAAACACUCUCGCUAGGUGCUGGGGAUACCGGGGAGAGUGUGGUCCCUGCCCUGGAGGAGGUGCUGUGGCAUCCUGGUGGGGACCAACCCGCCAGCCCACGGUGCAGGCAAGAGAGGUCAGGCGGGGAGGAGUAGGGCGAAGCCUGGGGGUGUGCAAGCCCCCUGCCUCCUCCUUCCCUUGGGAAGACCGCAGAGCCACAGCCUGGCCAUCCUGUUCACGGGAAAGCUGGGUUGGAGAAGCUAGCUUGGGUCUGGGACCAGAAGAGGACUCAUGGGUCCUACUCCUGGAAUUGGUCUAUGAGGUGCAGCCACUCCCAGCCCUGCCAGCUCAGGAAAGGGGGGCCGUUUCUCCAAAUCUCAGCCCCCUCAGGUGCCCACUGUCUCC